RNAcentral lists this ribosomal RNA (464 nucleotides) under uncultured Klebsiella sp. RNAcentral's name for it is "bacterial SSU rRNA". It matches the Rfam family "Bacterial small subunit ribosomal RNA", at positions 338 to 795 of the family's 1533-position model. The record is from RNAcentral. Lineage: Bacteria; Pseudomonadati; Pseudomonadota; Gammaproteobacteria; Enterobacterales; Enterobacteriaceae.
CCUACGGUGUGCUGCAGUGGGGAAUAUUGCACAAUGGGCGCAAGCCUGAUGCAGCCAUGCCGCGUGUGUGAAGAAGGCCUUCGGGUUGUAAAGCACUUUCAGCGGGGAGGAAGGCGGUGAGGUUAAUAACCUCAUCGAUUGACGUUACCCGCAGAAGAAGCACCGGCUAACUCCGUGCCAGCAGCCGCGGUAAUACGGAGGGUGCAAGCGUUAAUCGGAAUUACUGGGCGUAAAGCGCACGCAGGCGGUCUGUCAAGUCGGAUGUGAAAUCCCCGGGCUCAACCUGGGAACUGCAUUCGAAACUGGCAGGCUAGAGUCUUGUAGAGGGGGGUAGAAUUCCAGGUGUAGCGGUGAAAUGCGUAGAGAUCUGGAGGAAUGCCGAUGGCGAAGGCGGCCCCCUGGACAAAGACUGACGCUCAGGUGCGAAAGCGUGGGGAGCAAACAGGAUUAGAUACCUUGUAGUC